UAAAUAUUCCAAGAUGGGUAUUACUCACCUUUAUCUUGCAGAUGAUUUGCUGAUAUUCUCCUAGGGUGAUCUGGAAUCUAUCAAGGUUGUACAAGGGUGCUUUGAUCAGUUCUGAAAAGCUUCAGGCCUACAAGCUAAUAUGAGCAAAAAUUUAAUUUAUUUUGACGGGGUGUUACCAGGUAAAAAUCAAAUAAUCCUCCAUCAACUU
This 208-nucleotide long non-coding RNA is filed under the name Capsicum annuum. RNAcentral describes it as "long non-coding RNA (CANN_LNC015460)". Lineage: Eukaryota; Viridiplantae; Streptophyta; Magnoliopsida; Solanales; Solanaceae. The record is from RNAcentral.